Molecule: ribosomal RNA, 434 nt
Filed under: uncultured Roseburia sp.
Lineage: Bacteria; Bacillati; Bacillota; Clostridia; Lachnospirales; Lachnospiraceae
Description: partial 16S ribosomal RNA
Rfam family: Bacterial small subunit ribosomal RNA
Source: RNAcentral
ACGGGAGGCAGCAGUGGGGAAUAUUGCACAAUGGGCGAAAGCCUGAUGCAGCGACGCCGCGUGAGUGAUGAAGUAUUUCGGUAUGUAAAGCUCUAUCAGCAGGGAAGAUAAUGACGGUACCUGACUAAGAAGCACCGGCUAAAUACGUGCCAGCAGCCGCGGUAAUACGUAUGGUGCAAGCGUUAUCCGGAUUUACUGGGUGUAAAGGGAGCGCAGGCGGUACGGCAAGUCUGAUGUGAAAGCCCGGGGCUCAACCCCGGUACUGCAUUGGAAACUGUCGAACUAGAGUGUCGGAGGGGUAAGUGGAAUUCCUAGUGUAGCGGUGAAAUGCGUAGAUAUUAGGAAGAACACCGGAGGCGAAGGCGCCAUACUGGACAGAUACUGACGUUGAGGCUCGAAAGCGUGGGGAGCAAACAGGAUUAGAUACCCUGGUA